This 406-nucleotide ribosomal RNA is filed under the name uncultured bacterium. RNAcentral's name for it is "partial 16S ribosomal RNA". It matches the Rfam family "Bacterial small subunit ribosomal RNA", at positions 30 to 526 of the family's 1533-position model. The record is from RNAcentral.
AUUGAACGCUGGCGGCAGGCCUAACACAUGCAAGUCGAACGAGUGGCGGACGGGUGAGUAAUGUCUGGGAAACUGCCUGAUGGAGGGGGAUAACUACUGGAAACGGUAGCUAAUACCGCAUACCAUCGGAUGUGCCCCGAUGGGAUUAGCUCGUAGGUGGGGUAAAGGCUCACCUAGGCGACGAUCCCUAGCUGGGCUGAGAGGAUGACCAGCCACACUGGAGCUGCGACACGGUCCAGACUCCUACGGGAUGCAGCAGUGGGGAAUAUUGCACAAUGGGCGCAAGCCUGAUGCAGCCAUGCCGCGUGUAUGAAGAAGGCCUUCGGGUUGUAAAGUACUUUCAGCGGGGAGGCGUUAACCGAAGAAGAAGCACCGGCUAACUCCGUGCCAGCAGGCGCGGUAAUAG